ACGCACGCUGGCGGCGUGCCUAAUACAUGCCAGUCGCGCGGACCGAACAGGAGCUUGCUCUUGUUCGGUUAGCGGCGGACGGGUGAGUAACACGUGGGUAACCUGCCCGUAAGACCGGGAUAACUCCGGGAAACCGGAGCUAAUACCGGAUAACACCGAAGACCGCAUGGUCUUUGGUUGAAAGGCGGCUUCGGCUGCCACUUACGGAUGGGCCCGCGGCGCAUUAGCUAGUUGGUGAGGUAACGGCUCACCAAGGCGACGAUGCGUAGCCGGCCUGAGAGGGUGACCGGCCACACUGGGACUGAGACACGGCCCAGACUCCUACGGGAGGCAGCAGUAGGGAAUCUUCCGCAAUGGACGAAAGUCUGACGGAGCGACGCCGCGUGAGCGAAGAAGGUCUUCGGAUCGUAAAGCUCUGUUGUUAGGGAAGAAGAAGCGUCGUUCGAACAGGGCGGCGCGGUGACGGUACCUAACGAGAAAGCCCCGGCUAACUACGUG
RNAcentral lists this ribosomal RNA (498 nucleotides) under uncultured bacterium. RNAcentral's name for it is "partial 16S ribosomal RNA". It matches the Rfam family "Bacterial small subunit ribosomal RNA", at positions 29 to 507 of the family's 1533-position model. The record is from RNAcentral.